Molecule: ribosomal RNA, 459 nt
Filed under: Streptococcus sanguinis
Lineage: Bacteria; Bacillati; Bacillota; Bacilli; Lactobacillales; Streptococcaceae
Description: bacterial SSU rRNA
Rfam family: Bacterial small subunit ribosomal RNA
Source: RNAcentral
GACGAACGCUGGCGGCGUGCCUAAUACAUGCAAGUAGAACGCUGAAGAGAGGAGCUUGCUCUUCUUGGAUGAGUUGCGAACGGGUGAGUAACGCGUAGGUAACCUGCCUGGUAGCGGGGGAUAACUAUUGGAAACGAUAGCUAAUACCGCAUGAUAUUAAUUGUCGCAUGAUAAUUAAUUGAAAGAUGCAAUUGCAUCACUACCAGAUGGACCUGCGUUGUAUUAGCUAGUUGGUGAGGUAACGGCUCACCAAGGCGACGAUACAUAGCCGACCUGAGAGGGUGAUCGGCCACACUGGGACUGAGACACGGCCCAGACUCCUACGGGAGGCAGCAGUAGGGAAUCUUCGGCAAUGGGGGGAACCCUGACCGAGCAACGCCGCGUGAGUGAAGAAGGUUUUCGGAUCGUAAAGCUCUGUUGUAAGAGAAGAACGGGUGUGAGAGUGGAAAGUUCACACUG